This 291-nucleotide ribosomal RNA is filed under the name uncultured bacterium. RNAcentral's name for it is "partial 16S ribosomal RNA". It matches the Rfam family "Bacterial small subunit ribosomal RNA", at positions 335 to 607 of the family's 1533-position model. The record is from RNAcentral.
ACUCCUACGGGAGGCAGCAGUGGGAAUAUUGCACAAUGGGGAAGCCCAUCGAUGCAGCCAUGCCCGCGCUGUGUGAAGAAGGCCAAUUCGGGGCUUUGGUUAAAGACACUUUUCAGUAGGGAGGAAGGUAGUGUAGUUAACACCUGCACUAUUUGACGUUACCUACAGAAGAAGCACCGGCUAACUCCGUGCCAGCAGCCGCGGUAAUACGGAGGGUGCGAGCGUUAAUCGGAAUUACUGGGCGUAAAGCGCAUGCAGGCGGCCUGUUAAGUCAGAUGUGAAAGCCCGGGC